AUGCUCCCUUCAGAUAGAAUCCUCCAACAGCAAUAUCGUGCUCGAAACUACACUGUCUAUUCCGAGCUUAUUCACAUGUUACUUCAGGCUGAAAAGCAUGAUGAGCUACUCGCUAAGAAUGGCUUUCAGCGCCCAGUUGGGGCACAACCUUUACCUGAAGUCCAUCUGAAUGUUGCAAAUAGACAGAAGUUUAAUGGUACCUUUCGGGGUAAACAUUCCAAUUUUGAGCAUAAGCGAAAACACAAUGGGAACAGGAGAUCUAGAUACCCAGGAAAGGGAAAUGGCACUUCAAAGCCCAUCGUUGAUUAA
Molecule: ribosomal RNA, 309 nt
Filed under: Triticum aestivum (bread wheat)
Lineage: Eukaryota; Viridiplantae; Streptophyta; Magnoliopsida; Poales; Poaceae
Description: partial small subunit ribosomal RNA
Source: RNAcentral